This 389-nucleotide ribosomal RNA is filed under the name Arthrobacter pascens. Its description in RNAcentral is "bacterial SSU rRNA". It matches the Rfam family "Bacterial small subunit ribosomal RNA", at positions 8 to 396 of the family's 1533-position model. Lineage: Bacteria; Bacillati; Actinomycetota; Actinomycetes; Micrococcales; Micrococcaceae. The record is from RNAcentral.
AGAGUUUGAUCCAUGGCUCAGGAUGAACGCUGGCGGCGUGCUUAACACAUGCAAGUCGAACGAUGAUCCCAGCUUGCUGGGGGAUUAGUGGCGAACGGGUGAGUAACACGUGAGUAACCUGCCCUUAACUCUGGGAUAAGCCUGGGAAACUGGGUCUAAUACCGGAUAUGACUCCUCAUCGCAUGGUGGGGGGUGGAAAGCUUUAUUGUGGUUUUGGAUGGACUCGCGGCCUAUCAGCUUGUUGGUGAGGUAAUGGCUCACCAAGGCGACGACGGGUAGCCGGCCUGAGAGGGUGACCGGCCACACUGGGACUGAGACACGGCCCAGACUCCUACGGGAGGCAGCAGUGGGGAAUAUUGCACAAUGGGCGAAAGCCUGAUGCAGCGACG